AUUGAACGCUGGCGGCAGGCCUAACACAUGCAAGUCGAGCGGAUGAAGGGAGCUUGCUCCUGGAUUCAGCGGCGGACGGGUGAGUAAUGCCUAGGAAUCUGCCUGGUAGUGGGGGAUAACGUCCGGAAACGGGCGCUAAUACCGCAUACGUCCUGAGGGAGAAAGUGGGGGAUCUUCGGACCUCACGCUAUCAGAUGAGCCUAGGUCGGAUUAGCUAGUUGGUGGGGUAAAGGCCUACCAAGGCGACGAUCCGUAACUGGUCUGAGAGGAUGAUCAGUCACACUGGAACUGAGACACGUUCCAGACUCCUACGGGAGGCAGCAGUGGGGAAUAUUGGACAAUGGGCGAAAGCCUGAUCCAGCCAUGCCGCGUGUGUGAAGAAGGUCUUCGGAUUGUAAAGCACUUUAAGUUGGGAGGAAGGGCAGUAAGUUAAUACCUUGCUGUUUUGACGUUACCAACAGAAUAAGCACCGGCUAACUUCGU
This 483-nucleotide ribosomal RNA is filed under the name uncultured bacterium. RNAcentral's name for it is "partial 16S ribosomal RNA". It matches the Rfam family "Bacterial small subunit ribosomal RNA", at positions 30 to 506 of the family's 1533-position model. The record is from RNAcentral.